RNAcentral lists this ribosomal RNA (122 nucleotides) under Pteropus alecto (black flying fox). Lineage: Eukaryota; Metazoa; Chordata; Mammalia; Chiroptera; Pteropodidae. The record is from RNAcentral.
GUCUACCGCCAUGGCACCCUGUGGAAUGUGCCUGAUCCCGUCUGAUCUCGGAAGCUAAGCAGGGUGGGGCCUGGUUAGUACUUGGAUGGGAGACCACCUAGGAAGACCAGGUGCUGUAGGUG